Molecule: ribosomal RNA, 442 nt
Filed under: uncultured bacterium
Lineage: Bacteria
Description: partial 16S ribosomal RNA
Rfam family: Bacterial small subunit ribosomal RNA
Source: RNAcentral
CCUACGGGAGGCAGCAGUGGGGAAUAUUGGGCAAUGGACGCAAGUCUGACCCAGCAACGCCGCGUGAAGGAAGAAGGCUUUCGGGUUGUAAACCUCUUUUAAGGGGGACGAGCAGAAGACGGCACCUCUUGAAUAAGCCACGGCUAACUACGUGCCAGCAGCCGCGGUCAUACGGAGGUGGGAGGUGUUGUCCGGAUUUACUGGGUGUAAAGGGGGUGCAGCCGGUGAGACCAGUCAGAUGGGAAAUCCACGGGUCCAACCCGUGACCUGAGUUUGAAACUGGUUCCCUUGAGUGUGGGAGAGGUAAUCGGAAUGCCUGGUGUAGCGGUGAAAUGCGUAGAUAUAAGGCAGAACACCAGUGGCGAAGGCGGAUUACUGGAGGAUAACUGACGGUGAGGCGCGAAAGCGUGGGGAGCGAACAGGAUUAGAUACCCGAGUAGUC